GAUGAACGCUGGCGGCGUGCCUAAUACAUGCAAGUCGAGCGAACGGACGAGAAGCUUGCUUCUCUGAUGUUAGCGGCGGACGGGUGAGUAACACGUGGAUAACCGACCUAUAAGACCGGGAUAACUUCGGGAAACCGGAGCUAAUACCGGAUAAUAUUUUGAACCGCAUGGUUCAAAAGUGAAAGACGGUCUUGCUGUCACUUAUAGAUGGAUCCGCGCUGCAUUAGCUAGUUGGUAAGGUAACGGCUUACCAAGGCAACGAUGCAUAGCCGACCUGAGAGGGUGAUCGGCCACACUGGAACUGAGACACGGUCCAGACUCCUACGGGAGGCAGCAGUAGGGAAUCUUCCGCAAUGGGCGAAAGCCUGACGGAGCAACGCCGCGUGAGUGAUGAAGGUCUUCGGAUCGUAAAACUCUGUUAUUAGGGAAGAACAUAUGUGUAAGUAACUGUGCACAUCUUGACGGUACCUAAUCAGAAAGCCACGGCUAACUACGUG
This 497-nucleotide ribosomal RNA is filed under the name uncultured bacterium. RNAcentral's name for it is "partial 16S ribosomal RNA". It matches the Rfam family "Bacterial small subunit ribosomal RNA", at positions 28 to 507 of the family's 1533-position model. The record is from RNAcentral.